UUUAACUAAUGAACCGGCACCUAU
Molecule: microRNA, 24 nt
Filed under: Oryza sativa (Asian cultivated rice)
Lineage: Eukaryota; Viridiplantae; Streptophyta; Magnoliopsida; Poales; Poaceae
Also listed under: 1 other name
Description: osa-miR5146
Source: miRBase by way of RNAcentral